RNAcentral lists this long non-coding RNA (16229 nucleotides) under Cricetulus griseus (Chinese hamster). RNAcentral describes it as "lncRNA (ENSCGRG00015036019.1)". The record is from RNAcentral. Lineage: Eukaryota; Metazoa; Chordata; Mammalia; Rodentia; Cricetidae.
AAGGGAUUGAAAUUUUCUCUGUGUUUUAUUUAUUCCCCAACAAAUUCACUUAGAUAUAGAAUAAAUCUGGUUCUUCUCAAACUCAUGUACCCUAGGUUUCCUUUAUUAAAUCAAUUUUUGUUUAAAUUAAAAACAAUCUUAUUUUACAUAUCAAUCUCAGUUCCCACUCCAUCCCAUCCUCCCAUGCUCCCCCACACAAACUCCCCAUCACACCCACCAAACACUCCCAGAGUGUGUGAUGCCUCCAACAAGGCAUCACAAUAUGUGACAUCAAAGUCUGUCACAUAUUUUGGGGCAGGACCAAGACCUUCUCCAAUGUAUCUAGGCUGAGAGAAUAUCCUUCCAUAGAAAAUGGGUACCCAAAGACCGUUUUGUGUACUUGGAUAAAUACUGGUUCCUCUGCCAAAGGCCCUAUAGAGAGCAUAGGCCUUCCAUUGACACCCCCAAUCAAGAAGCCUGGUUCAGUCUUAUGCUAGUUACCCAGCUGUCAUGGGUGUUCAUGUAUUACCACUUGAUCAGGUCAGCUGUUUUUGAAUGUUUCUCUGCCAUGAUCUUGACGCCUUUACUCAUUACUACGCCCUCUCUACAACUGAAUUCUAGGAAUUCAGCUCAGUACUUACCACACAGAAGGCAUCCAAUAUCUUCUAGUUUUUUUUAAGUAUUGGCUUUUACUAAGUUUUUUAAAGGUGGGCAUAUUUCAUAUAUUUUGUAAACAACAACAUACUAUCCAUUCUCUGACUUUUUACUUGCAGGAUUGCAUCCUGUAUUCCAGACAUUAUGAUGGCUCCAUAUAAUUUUUCUGUUUUUACCAGAGAGUAAUAUUGGAAUGUAAAUUUUAAUUAUGUUCCUUGUAAAUUUCUAUAAAUUUAGCACUUGAAAGGGUGAGGCUGAAACAUGUUUGUGAAAUUACAAGUCACCCUAGCCUACCAAUUGAAUUCUAAAUCUACCAGUACCCAAAGUGAGAUUUAUGGCUUAAAAUAUACAGGGUAAAAUACAGUAGAGAAUCAAAAAUUCCUCAAAAAAAGACCUUAAUUACCUGUACGGUUGACCGCACCGCAUGUGGUCACAUGUAUAUAGAAAGGUGUAAACAAGGUAAGAUAGAGCUAGUGCUCUCUCUGUCUCUCUCUCGGGGUUGAACCAGCAUUGGAAAGCUGCUGGGACUCUACCACUAGAAGUGACAACCUGGUUAUGGAUUUUUGUGUGAGUAUAACUCCCAAAUAAAUUACCAGUUAAUAAGCAGUCUCUGAAUCCAUUUGGAUUCAACAAUAGCCUUUAGAAUAUAUCUGUAAGCAACACUGCCUGGUUGCCUUGGUAUUAUUUAGGUCUUCCAUGAUGAUAAAUCCAGUCAACUGUCAGAUAGUACUUCUGUGUGGACAUACUAAUUUUUUUGAUUUUUUAAAUUUAAAUUAUAAACAAGCUUGAUAAAUGUCAAUCCCAGUUCCCUCUCUGUCCCAUCCUCUCAUGAUCCCCACCCCCUAUCCCAUGCCAUUUCUCCUCCCCAGUGAGGUUGGGAACUUCCAUGGGGGAACUUCAAAGUCUGUUAUAUCAUUUGGAGCAGGUUCUAGGCUCUCCCUGGUGUGUCUAGUUGAAAGAGUAUCCCUCUAUGUGGAAUGGGCUCUCAAAGUCCAUUCCUAUAACAUGAAUAAAUACUGAUCCACUCCCAGAGACCCCAUAGAUUGUCCAGGAUUCGUAACUGACAGAUGUGUUCAAGUCUGGAUAAGUUCUUUGCUAGUUUCCCAGCUAUCAGUCUGGGGUCCAUGAGCUCCCCUUUGUUCAGCUCAUCUGUUUCUCUGGGUUUCUGCAGUGCGGUCAUGACCCCUAUAUUAUCCCUCCUCGCUCUCUGCAAGUGGAUUCCAGGAAUAUAGCUCAGUGUUUAGCUGUGGAUGUUUCCUUCUGCUUGAAUCAGCUACUGGAGAAAGGCUCUAGGAUGACCUGUAAGAUAGACAUCAAUUCUCAUUACAAGGAAGCACAUUUAAGACAGCAUCUCCACUAUUGCUUAAAUUGUUAGUUGGGGUAGGUGGAUGUACUUAUUAUAUAUUGUAUAAAUGCACAUAUCUAUAACUAUGUAUAUGAAUAUCCAAAUAUAUUUACAACUCAUUAGACAAAAGAUGAAUUCUAAAUUUUUUAUUAUAGGAACAAAUCAAGCACCAAAUUAAUUUUUCCAUAUUUUAAAUUUUAGUAACCUUCCACAGCACUUGUGUGAAAUUUGGAUACAUUAACUCAAUCAUGUAUGAGGAAAAUAUGUUCAAAGCAGUAAAUAUAUCACACUUAUGAGCCCAAGGAAAGAUGUUCAAUAUGUACUUUAAGUUAUACCAUAUGUAGUUAUCAUUUUGAGUAUUAAUUUAUAAAGUUAAUGUUCACUUCACAUGCUUAUUUUCACUACUUCAUUCUGUUAUACUCCCCAUAUGAUUGUAGCUAUCUAAACACACACAAGGUGACACCAAGACAGAGAAACUUCAUUUGAUUGUGUUCUUGGGGUCACCAAAACAACUCGUUUUUGAAAAAUUAUGCUCACCUUUGAACAAAAUAAAAGGAAAAUUUCUUCAACAACAUUUGAUGGGUUUUGACCCCAAUUAUAGGAAAAGAAAAGGUUGAUUAUGUAGAAAUUCUUUGCCAUUGAUUUGUUAUUAACAGAAAAACAGUGUGCACAAGCUGCAAAACUCAAUGAAAGUUUGCAUAUGACAUUUAGAAACUAACUAUUGGGCCCAACACUGUUUCUCAGGAACAGAUUGCUGACCACGUGAUCUGUGAAAACAAGGCCUCUCAAACAUCCCAGAACACAGACAAAGCAACUAAGUAAUUAUUCCCUGAACAACAUGUAGGCAGAAAAUAGUGUUCAGUUUGAUCCUGUCACACUCCACUCCUAAAUGAACACACACAGGCAUAUAUUAAGUAUAAACUAUUUGUACUUAGGCAAAAUCAUCUUAUUUGCUCACUCUCUAUAAAUCCUAACCCAUUUCUUUUCAUCAGUGAAUCUCCAGGUGGUUUAGCAUAACAGAGGAAAACAGAGCAACCUAAAUUCCCUGAAGUUACAUGGCGACUCUCAGGAGACUCACUCUCCAUAUACCUCUCCCAGAAUUCAACUCUGGCUUCAUUCCCUAUAUGUCCUCAAUGGCUACAUAUUGUCUGACUAUGGGCCAAAAUAGCUUCAUUCAUAAACCAAUAAGAGAAACAUAUAUCCACAGCAUAUAGAAAAGCAUCUGCUUCAGGUUCUAUUUCCUACUGGAGAAAAUAAGGAUUUUUUUUUUAAAAAAAAUUCACAUUGGCCAAUUAUGUAUUUCAAAGUUGAUGAGCAAAAAUUAUGGAUAUCAUUAUGUAGUACAUUAACAUUUGCCAAAUUUUAAGAAAAUAUUCCAUGGUCUGCCCUUGCUUUGUUAGGUUAAAGAAUCAAAUGCAAGUUACAUUUAUCAUAAUUAAGAAAAUCCAUAAUGGUAAUUAUCAGUCCUCAAAAGCAACAAAGAUUCCAGAAGGAUUCUAUAUAAAACAAUAAAUUAGGAGAGACAUCUCUCUUCCAUGAAAGUCACCCAACUUUUGGCGGCACCCUAAGCCCAUCCAUCUUCAGCCAGUAUGGCCAGAACAUGUAGCAGAAUUUUGGAGGAAGAAUAUAAGAAGGAUCAUCCUUUCCCUUGGCGUCUUCAGCAGUCCGUCUUCUUUGGAACCUGUUUGUCUAGUUUGGACACCAUGCUGUCAAGCAGUCAAGGGAAGAGAGGAUUCUCCUCCAAAUAGCAAGUUCUGCCCUGUGAAAGGCAAACUCCAUAACCAGAUUCUUUAAUGACCAUCUUAAUCUCUAAUGUGAUCUGUUGACUUCACAAGAUGAUUAUAGCUAUACAUAACCAAUUCCUAUCAAAUCAUGUUAACGUGUCUAUAAGGAUUUUAUCAAGAAAAAGUAUAGAAAAGAGAAACAAAUAUAGCUACCACUGGAAGCUUUUGUAAGUAAUAAGGAAAAAAUCUGUUAAAAAUAAAACAACAAGUACAAGAACCAAAGAAGAAAAAAUUGUAAAACAACUACCAAUGAGGAUUUCACUAAAAGCUACAGGUACAGGGGACAGGAUGGAGCUUACUCAGCAUGCUCAGCUACCUCGAUCUAUCUGUAAAUCUCCUCUUUUGUGGCAAAAGGACUGGUUUGCCACUCUAUGUAUAUAGUUACACUAUAAUCAAAGAAGGCCAUAAUAAAUAUUUUUGAAAGACCAACAUAGGUUACAUGAAUAUGUCACAGAAGGGAAUAUUUACAUUUAUAAAAGAUGAAAUAGUAUGCCUGCUUUCUAGAGGUCUACAAAGGCUAUGGACGAUAAGAGGAUCUAUUUACAAGUCAUUCCUAAAAUGCUACUCAGGCCAUUAUUUGGGUCAGGAUAAUUAUCAAUGAAGAAAUUACGGGAUAUAAUCCAGGAGAUUCCACCCCGUCAUUCUGAUUGUUUUCCAAGAAAAAAUUCUCUUUGGCUUAACUAAAGUCAUCUAAUUACAAACUAUUUACAGUUUGAUACGUGGGUGCAAACUGAUUCUUCUGUGCCUUUCCAAAACUUGGAAUAGGCAGCUUUUACUUGCUCAGUCAGUGAAGAAACAGAGACUUUAUAACUACUAAGACAAAAUUACGAGAUUAGUAGAAACAUCACUCCUUUGAACGCAGAAAUGAAUUUUCUAAAUAAAGAAACAAAAAAAAAUAUCUUACUACAGUAUUCUGAGGAAAAGGCAAUGGGACAUAUAUAGCAGCGUUUCAGUACUGCAGUCAUGAAUCCCUUCUGUUUCAUGACAUAACAGAGAAACACACACAAGCCCAGAGUUACCCCGAGAUACCAAAACAUACUGGGUAGACACACAAUUUAUAUAGUUUCAAUAAACCAUAGAAAGUCAUAAUAAACAUUUUGUUGAAAGAACAGUAUAGGAUAGAUGUAUAUGUCAAAGAUUGAAAUGUUUACAUUUAUAAAAGAGGAAACAGCAUAUCUGCUUUCUAGGGGACUGCAAAGACUAUGGAUGUUUAGAUACUAUAUUUACAAGGCUAUUUACAAAUAAUUCCCAAAAUGCUACUCAUGCCAUUACUAGGCUCAGGAUAAUUAUCAAUGAAGAAACUACAGGAUAUAAUCCAGGAGAUUCAGCCCCGUCAUUCUGAAUGUUUUCCAUGAAAACAUUCUAUUUGCAUAACUAAAGUCAUCUAAUUACAAACUAUUUACAGUUUGAUACGUGGGAGCAAACAGAUUCAGCUCUGCCUUUCCAAAUCUUGGAGUAGGCAGCUUUUAGUUGCUUGUUGAGUGGAGAGAGAGAGAGAGAGAGAGAGAGAGAGAGAGAGAGAGAGAGAGACUUUAUAGCUACCUGUAAAUAUUACGAAAGUAGUGUAAACUUCACUCAUGUCAAUGCAGAAAUAAAAUUUCUAAGUACAAAAACAAAAGAAAAUUAUCUUAUUACACUAUUCUGAGGAACAUGUAAAGGGACUUAAAUAGCAGCGUUUCAGUACUGCAGUCAUGAAACUCUCCUGUUUCAUGACAUAAGAAAGAAACACACAGAGACCCUGAAUUAACUCAUCCUCUACUAAUAAAUUCUAGGAAAAUAAUUGACAAAAGUAAAAAUAACAUACACAAAGAAACUAACAUGCACAUAUUCUCACCAUAUAACUAGUUUAUAGCAAAGCACCCUUGAAGAGCUGACCUGAAGACAUAAUGCAAUCUGAAGAUACAGUUAGUGCUUACACUCUAGCCUUCAUGCUAUUACAGCUUGGUUAUUUGAUCAUCAGUAGUGACAGUUAAAUAUUUGCUAAUGUCAAAUUGUAAUUGUAAAAUUGUUUUUUACAUAAUCAAUCAUUAAAAUUUCUUAAUCCAAAAUGAAGAUAAUUUGUUCUACUAUUUUUUUCCAACACAUGAAGCACACAAUAUUUGAAAUUUUUUUUCCUGUUUGAACAGUACUUCUUUCUCAGUGUACCAUUCUUAACCAACUUUGUGAACUAUUCCAUUGUGAAAGGAUAAAAUGAGCUCUACUUGGCACUGCCUUCAGCUGCCAUGCCUUUAAAUGCAGAGAAAGUUCUGCUUUAGUAUAUAACACCAUAAAAGGAGACACAUUUGAAGUUUAACUUCCAUCCCAACCCACUCCACCCCAGUUUGAGACAAGAUUUCAUGUCUAUUAUCCAGACUGGCCUCAACUUUACUAUGAUACCCAGCUUAACUCUGAACUCCUGAUCUCCUGCCUCUACUUCCCGAGUGCUGGCUUGGGGGUGUGCACAACCAUGUCCAACUUUUCCUCAUUUAGUCCAAGUUAUAAAGCAGCUUUUCUUAGAUUACUUGCCUUAGAGUUUUCUGUCAAAAACAGUCAUUCUGUCUUUUGGCAAGUGGAUCUGUCACAAUUGUAGCCACCCAGAAAUGUAGAAGACACCCUUGAAAGAAAUCAUUGCAGUUAACAAAAUGAAGUGAAGAUGACAUGCAAGUAGAAGUUGGCACACAACUUUAAUUCUAGCUUCAGGAGGUAGAAGCAGGUGGAUCUCUGACUUCCUGGUCAGCCCAUUCUACAUAGAGAGUUCCAGCCUCUGGUGUUAUCUAUACAGUUGUUUACCUAGUCUGUUAAAGCAUGACUCCAAGUGUUUUUGCAUUGUGUCAGCUUAGAGGUUGCUCUAAAAUCAUUUCUAGAAUGAUUUCCAUAUCCUUGUUAGGAUUAAGGCACUGAAACACAUCACAACUAGAUUGCAUAGAGUUAGCAACAACCACCCCGGACAAUACCUGAAGGUUUAAUAUUCCUUUUAAAAUGAGAGUCCUUAAUGUACCCAUUAGUUGGUCAGAUGCUAAAGCCCAUGGGUGACCUAAUGAGAAGGCUCCUUCUAUUUAGGGAACAACACUCAGCUAAACCAGAAGAGCUCUGCUAGUACAACUGUCAUGAUGUCUUCCUUUAGUCAACCCAGCUGUCCCAGGUGAUGCCACUCUAGACUGAUUGAGACUGCUCCUCUGAGUGUACCAUUCUGCUAGCUUUCCAUCAGAGAAUUAACUGAAACUUUUGGCCAACAGCUGAUGCUUGAACUGUCUGUCAUUCACCAGUAAUUAUGCUCAAAAAUCGGAAGCUGGAAUAGGACUAAAUCAUGCUGAAUACAUGAAAUGCUAAAUGAAAUUUCAACGAGAUACCUGUUGCAAAAUCCUUCACAACAUGGACAUUCAAGAUGAAACCACUAAGAUUUCCACUCAACUUCCAGCUCUAUUUUCUUUUUCAAUCACCUUUGCUUAGUUUUUGUAUUUGUAUAAACACCCAAUUCUCUUAACCAAGAAGGAUAAUCUGCAUUUGGUGGGCAGCAUCGCUGGCUUCAUCUUCUAGUCAGAUGCCUUCUGAGAUGUGGAGCUGUGUGAGGAAGAGCUGCAGGGCGAGGAACAUUCUGGAGAACACAGAUAAUGCAACAGGGGGAGGCGACUCUUCCCACACAAGUCCACAGACUUAAUUCAUCUGACAAAGCAGUCCAAACACACUCUGGUAUACCUAGAGCCUGGGGAAUUGGCAAGCUGAAUCCAAGUAUCUUAGCAGAUUGCCAGGAAGAUAAGAGUGAGUGUCAGAAAUAUUUCUGGAUCCUCCUGGUCUUUGCCAGUAAUCCCAGUCCAGUUGGAGGGCUAUAUGUUAAAUGACUAAGCAAAGAAGCAAACAAUGGAUUUCCUUGAAAACUCAGCUCUUCAAGAUGAAUAGUGUUGGGGAUCUCUGGAGGCCGGUCCGUCAGCAAGUUAUCGAGGAGAGUGGGGAAACCGAUGCAACUGUGAAAGCUGAGAAAACACAUUGGGAUUUUGUUGUCACAUAACACCAAUAACUGAGAGAAGGUAGAAUUGCUAAUUCUGGGCGCGGGUGGGGGGGACUACUAUCCUGAUGUUUGCUGCCCAUGUUAAGGGUCUGCCGGUUUCCCCCUCCAAAACCUAGGCUGGGCCCUCCUGGAAACAUGGCCAGUGAGUUUGAGUACCUGGAGUGUGCAGAGAGCUGCUACCGUGUCGGUCCCUCCAGCAGCAAGCCUGUGUCCUGGAGCCUCUUGUUCCUGUCCAUCAGCAUGCCCAGUGGCACUCUGCCACAGCAGCUGGGGUCGCAGCGCCAUGGGCGGGUCCCUGCUCAUGUCCUGUAGCUGGAGGUCAGGGAAGUGGCUGCUCAGCCCCUGCCUGGGAAGCAUUGUCAGAUGGUUGUAGGGCAGCAGCAGCCACAGCGUCGCCAACCGGGAGUCCCGCAUCUCUGCUGGGCUCCCCUCUAGCUCGGGAUCUGGAGCCUAGGCCCACAGGCUGAGGAGGGAGCAGCUGAGUCCAUGUCUCCCAUAGCGGAGGCUUCACUCAUCUGUCUGGAUUCCCAGGCAGCUGCCAGCUGACACCGUGGCACCUCCCGGAACCGGAAGUGAGCUCCGUGUAGGAAGUGCCUGGGCUUGGAGGAUUUGGGGCCGCUCACACAACCUUUCUCUAAGAUUUAAGGGAAAUGUGGACCUUUAUCAUUUUAUGGACUGAAAAAUGUGUUGAAACACUCUGUUAGACACCGAAUGUAGCUGCGAUCUUGACACAUGAUUACUUCAUGUGUGAGAUGGUGUACGUGGGAGAGCCCUUGUGCCUGUCCUUUUCCUCUGCCUAUCUCAGGAUCACAGACAGCCUUCCCACAGAUCAGGGCAGGAUCCAGCAACGUUACCAUGAAUCUUGACAGGGAACUGAGAAAAUAACGUCGCUUAUGGGACACAGCAAAAGUGGAGGGUUUCAAAGCAUUUUGGGAAGUGUAAUUCGACUUAUAAUGAAUUGCUUCCUUUUUACCUAAAAUCAAAAAAAGCAUAGCUGUGUAGAAUGGUCAUUCAGCAAUAGACAUGCGUUGCAUGUAUGAACUGCUGACUGUUAUUUCUCGAAUAAGCAUGACAAUGGGACCAAAUUAGGUGGUCUACCUAUGUCAGGACGUGACAAGAAUAAAUUAUCUGAUAUCUGUGUUUGCUCUCCAUUCAGCUGAAAAGAUUAGGCGGUCAAUUCCAUGCUACUGAAAACGGCGACUCAGAUCGUCCCCAAGUAGCAGUAAAUUGUACUGCUACUGGAUUGAGAUUCCUGGUAUAUAUCCUUUCCAGCAUAAACUCUAAACAGCUCUUCUGCUUCUCAUAGGGUACAAUUGCCAGACCAGCAGGGUUUCAUGAAAGUUCAAAGUAAGGAACAAAGAGUUCAUUGGUUUCCUUAAAAUGAGGCUGAGCAGUCUGUUGCUAACUUGAUAAGAAAACCGAUUAUUUGGCAAAUGCAACAUAACAGAAAAUUGAUACAUAUUAAUAAAUGAAGUCUAAGUGUGAAAAAUAGUCAUACUCUAAAUAAACAUUAAAUAUUAAGUUACUACUUACUCUUAAAAGUAUGUGUGGUGUUGUAAAUACUAAAUGGGAAGGUGGCUUGCAUGUGAAAUUUCCCCCUUGGUGUCAAACCUUUAGACAUUUGGUCUCCAAGUAGUGGUGGUUGUGGAUCCUAUAGGAUUUGGACCCUUGAUUGAGGAAGUGAGUCAGUGGGGAAUGACUUCAGUUUUUAUAACUCAGCCCAACUUUGCGUUCCCUGACAGAUGCCCGAACUGCACAUCCAAUGUGACCAUCCUGCCCCCUGUACUUGAUGCCCUGUCUUCUCUUACUACUACUAUUUUGAUUUUAUUGUGACAAUGACAUGAACCCCAAAAAGUAUAGGCAGUCCCUACAUACAUAAUUAUAUGCUCAUACUUUUGUUAGAUGCCUCUGGGUUCACUGGUAGGAUUGGAAGCCUUCCUACAAUACACUUUGAAAACCACAGCUGUUUCCAAAAUGUUUACCUGAACUAAGGGUGCAAAUUCUCAGUAUCUGCCCCAGUUACCAAACUAAAAUAAAAAUAAAUAAAGAAUGAUUCCAAGACCAAAACAAAACAAAACAAAACAAAAUAAAAGAAUGGUGGUGAGGCUUUUUUCAUAAGUAUAUGUGUGCUAGUCCAUACCACCAUGCCACUCCAGCAAGGUGUUUACCCAUAAGAAAAGAGGGGGAAUUAUAAGAACAUUUGCUAUAGCUGCAUAAAUGUAUCCCUUGCUAUCAUAUAACAAUGCACACCCCUCACACUGAUGUAUGUGUAUGCAUAUGUAACUCUAACCUCUACCUCAGAGCCCCCAUUCUGGCAUUGAAAUAGCGGAAUUGUCUUCUGAAUUUUCUACUCUAUCUUUUUAAAUAUAUAAAUAAUAUGAUAUGACAUAAUAGAAUAUAUUUGAAACAAACUUUAGUCUGACCAACCAUGUUUCAUGCUAUCAUAGGUUAGCAUUUUCGUCACCAGAAGUGAGACUUAGAUAUUUUCAAAUGCCAAUAGGUUUUCCUGUAUAAACCAGUACUAAAAUUUGUGAAUAUCCACUGACAAUAAUUUGUGGCAAUAUUUUUCUCCUACACCUCUAGGAUACAGGAUUUUAUUAUUCCCAUUCCUGUUUUAUCAAAACUUCUGUCGUAGUGUUCAGUGGUUAAAGCUACUUUGUGACCGAUUCUAUUGUAAAUGGAUAUAUUGAGCUCUAUUUCUCACUCCCUUCAAUUCCCAUGUUAUCUGCUUGUAGUUUUGCUUACAUGUGCAGAGAAAAUUUUCCUGUAGUAUACAUCACGAGCCAAGGAGCCAUAUUUGCCAGUUAAAAGCCACCCCACGCCAACUCAUAGCCCACUCUGAGACAAGGCUUCAUGUAUAAAGGGCAUGCUUGCUUCAUCUUUACCUUGAUGCCUAGGCUAGCAUGGAAUUCCUGAUCUUCUGCCUCUCCCACCCAGGUAAUGGUUUGGAGGUAUGCACCAACAUAUCCAACUUUUCUCAUUUUGUCCAAAUUGUAAAGGAACUUCUCUUAGCUUACAUAAUAUCCAGAUUUUUGUGUAAGAACAAUAAAUUCUUCGGUUGUUUGGCAAAUUGAUAUAUCUGGACUGCUGCCUCCCAUAAAGGUAAAAGCCUCUGUUACAAGAGAUCAAUUCAGUUAACCAGACGAAGAGAAGAUAACCCUGGAAGAAUGUGGCGGUGUAUACAUUUAAAGGAAAGCAAUAGGUGUUAGAGGCAGGUGGAUUUCUGUAUUCCCGGUCAGCUCAUUCAUUCCUCAUACAGAGUUCCCCGCUUGAAAUCUCAGGUGUUAUCUAGACACUUUCUUUUAGAUAAUAUGUUGAACCAUAUUUCCAAGAGUUUUGCUGUGUGCCAGGUUGUAGGUGGCUCUCCAAACAUUUCUAGAAUAAGCUUCUCUACCUUUCCUAGGGUUCCCUCACUGUACCACAUCACAGCUAGAUUGCAUUAAUUUAGUAAAUCACACCAAUCAUGAGCUGAAGUUUAAAUCUUCCCUUAACAUACCAGUUAAUUGUCCAUAGGAUAAGCCUAGAUAGGACACACGUAGAAGAAUCAAUCAGUUUCUGGCAGUGAUUUCAUCCACCCAGAACAAAACUGGUAGUACACCUGUCAUGUUGUCUUACUUUCCUCAAACCAGCUGACCCAUGGGGGACCACUCCUGUAAGUGUACCAUUCUCCUAUAUUUUCCAUAAAGACUUAACUGAAAUUUGUGACCAACCCGCUUAAUUUGGAACUGUCAUUCAGAAUACAUUAAACCAACUGAGUUCUAUUCCUGCUUGCGUCACAAAGUGACAUUGUGGCUUAAAUUAUACAAAGGAAAAUACAGGACAGAAACAAAAAUGCAACACAGUAUACCUCCAAAACAAAAACUUUUAAUAUAUAUCUGGAAACAACAUUGCCUAAUUGACUUGGACUCAUUCAGGUCUGUCAUGCUGAAAAGCCAGUCAAUUGUCAGAUAGGCCUUUUGUGUGGAUGGACAUAUACAUUGUAUAAAUGAGCAUAUCUAGAACUGUGUCAGGGAAUAUCCAAAUAGAUUUACAUGGGAAUAAACAUGGAUGCUGACUUCUCAUCAUUUACUAUAUGAACACAUCUAGCAGGAAGUUAAUUAAUCCACUUUUUUUUUUCAUUUAUGUUCCACACAAUAUGUAUGAAAUUUGGCUUCAUUAAGCGAAUCAUGUAUGACACAAAUAUGUUGAAAGCAGUCACAAGAUGAUCCUUGAAGGGCCCAACUAAACAUCUUUACUAAGAACAUAGUUAUCACAUAUCUAGGUCCGGUUUGGUUUGAUUCUUAAUUUAUUUAAAGAAUGUCCCAGUUGAGGUCAAUUCUUACUAGGACUGAAUUCAGUGGCAUUCUUCAUAGGAUUGUACUCAUCCAAACACACAUACAGAGACACCCACCCACAUCCAAACACAGAGACAAACUUCCUUAUCUAAAUAUGUCCUGGGGAAUCUAAACACUUACUUCAUUUUGAAAAUUUGUGCUCACAUAAUUUAUCACAUUUUUAAAAUAAAUUUCUGAAGAUUUUAUUGAAUCUAAUACAGAAUUCACAACUCUUAAGGCAACAAUCAUGAGGGUAAGGGUGUGUAUACAUACAUACAUAUAUAUAUAUAUAUAUAUAUAUAUAUAUAUAUAUAUAUAGUAGAUCAUAUAUUUUCAAGUCCUCUGUGUAAGGUGGCACAAGAUAUUGAACAAUGUAAACACUGUUCUUAGAAACUUUCAAAUACAAGGUCAUAAAAUUUAUCAAAAUAGGACUAUAUCUUUUCCAGAGAUCAUACUCCAAUACUGAUUUAUCUUGCACGGUUACAUUUUCGUUAUGUAUAUACUUAUCCAGCAAAGUGUAGCACACAACAGUUGAGGUACUUAUAUUAAAGAAAUUAGAGCCUCCCUAAGCAUUGGACCAAAAUAGAGUAUCGUUUCUUCAGUCACAUUUGUUGUUAUUUGGCCCCAAAGUUAUGAAAACAUAAGGCUGCUCAUGUAGAAAUUCUUUCCCAUUGCUUUGUUACUAACAAACUAAAAAUGAGCAAAAGAUGGCAAAAACCUCAACGAAAGCUGGCAUAUGACAUUUAGAAAGUGAGUAUUGGGCCCAGCACUGUUCCUCGGGAACACCUUGCUGAUCCCAUGAUCUGUGAAAACAGGGCCUCUCAACCAUCCUUUUACACAGAACAAAGCAACUGGGUAAUUGCUCCAUGAACAGCAAUGUGUAGGCAGAAGUUAGUUUUCAGCUUGAUCCUGUCACACUCCACUCCUAAAUGAACACACAGAGGCAUAUAUUAAGUAUAAACUAUUUGUCCUCAGGCUCAGGCUUCAUAUCGGCUCUCUCUCUCUAAAUCCUAACCCAUUUCUUUUCCUCAGUGAAUCUCCAAGUGUUUUAGCAUACCAGAGGAAACCUGAGCAACCUAACUCCCCGGAAGUUACAUAGUGACUCUCUGGAGACUCACUCUCCCUAUACCUCUCCCCGAAUUCAACUCUGGCUGCAUUCCCUAUAUGUCCUCACUGGCUACAUAUUGCCUGACCAUGUGCCAAAAUAGCUUCAUUCAUAAACCAAGAAGAGAAACAUAUAUGCGCAGCAUACAGAAAGUUAGUUGCAUCAGGUUCUGUUCUCUACUGGAGGAAAGAAGGAUUUCUUUUUAAACAUUUAACAUUGUCCAAUUAUGAAUUUCAAAGUUGAUAAGCAAAAAUGAGGGAUACCAAUAUGGAGUCCGUUAACAUUUGACAAAUUUGAAGAAAAUGGUCCCUGAUCUAUCCUUGCUUGGUGAGGUUAAACCUUCAAAUGCAACUUAUCUUUUAUUAUAAUUAAGAAAACCCAUAAUGGUAAUUAUCAGUCUUCAAUAGCAACAAAGACUGCAGAAGGAUUCUAUAGAAAACAAUACAUUAGCAGAGACAUCUCUCUUCCAUGAGAGAGUCACCCAACGUUUUUUCGGCACUCUUGCCGCAUCCCUCUUAGCCUGUAUGCCCAGAAUGUGUGGCAGAAAUUUGGAUGAAGAAAACAUAUGAAGGAUCAUCCUUUCCCUUGGCUUCUUCAGCAGUCCCUCUUCUUUGGAACCUGUUUGUCUAGUUUGGACAGCAUGCUGUCAAGCAGUCAAGGGAAGAGAGGAUUCUCCUCCAAAUAGCAAGUUCUGCCCUGUGAAAGGCAAACUCCAUAACCAGAUUCUUUAAUGACCAUCUUAAUCUCUAAUGUGAUCUGUUGACUUCACAAGAUGAUUAUAGCUAUACAUAACCAAUUCCUAUCAAAUCAUGUUAACGUGUCUAUAAGGAUUUUAUUAAGGAAAAGUAUGAAAAAGAGAAGAAAAAUAUAGCUAUCACUGGAAGCUUUUGUAAGUAAUAAGGAAAAAAAUCUGUUAAAAAUAAAACAACAAGUACAAGAACCAAAGAAGAAAAAACUGUAAAACAGCUACCAAUGAGGAUUUCACUAAAAGCUACAGGUACAGGGGACAGGAUGGAGCUUACUCAGCAUGCUCAGCUACCUCGAUCUAUCUGUAAAUCUCCUCUUUUGUGGCAAAAGGACUGGUUUGCCACUCUAUGUAUAUAGUUACACUAUAAUCAAAGAAGGCCAUAAUAAAUAUUUUUGAAAGACCAACAUAGGUUACAUGAAUAUGUCACAGAAGGGAAUAUUUACAUUUAUAAAAGAUGAAAUAGUAUGCCUGCUUUCUAGAGGUCUACAAAGGCUAUGGACGAUAAGAGGAUCUAUUUACAAGUCAUUCCUAAAAUGCUACUCAGGCCAUUAUUUGGGUCAGGAUAAUUAUCAAUGAAGAAAUUACGGGAUAUAAUCCAGGAGAUUCCACCCCGUCAUUCUGAUUGUUUUCCAAGAAAAAAUUCUCUUUGGCUUAACUAAAGUCAUCUAAUUACAAACUAUUUACAGUUUGAUACGUGGGUGCGAACCGAUUCUUCUGUGCCUUUCCAAAACUUGGAAUAGGCAGCUUUUACUUGCUCAGUCAGUGAAGAAACAGAGACUUUAUAACUACUAAGACAAAAUUACGAGAUUAGUAGAAACAUCACUCCUUUGAACGCAGAAAUGAAUUUUCUAAAUACAGAAACAAAAAAAAAUCUUACUACAGUAUUCUGAGGAAAAGGCAAUGGGACAUAUAUAGCAGCGUUUCAGUACUGCAGUCAUGAAACUCUCCUGUUUCAUGACAUAACAGAGAAACACACACAGACCCAGAGUUACCCCGAGAUACCAACACAUACUGGGUAGACACACAAUUUAUAUAGUUUCAAUAAACCAUAGAAAGUCAUAAUAAACAUUUUGUUGAAAGAACAGUAUAGGAUAGAUGUAUAUGUCAAAGAUUGAAAUGUUUACAUUUAUAAAAGAGGAAACAGCAUAUCUGCUUUCUAGGGGAAUGCAAAGACUAUGGAUGUUUAGAUACUAUAUUUACAAGGCUAUUUACAAAUAAUUCCCAAAAUGCUACUCAUGCCAUUACUAGGCUCAGGAUAAUUAUCAAUGAAGAAACUACAGGAUAUAAUCCAGGAGAUUCAGCCCCGUCAUUCUGAAUGUUUUCCAUGAAAACAUUCUAUUUGCAUAACUAAAGUCAUCUAAUUACAAACUAUUUACACUUUGAUACGUGGGAGCAAACAGAUUCAGCUCUGCCUUUCCAAAUCUUGGAGUAGGCAGCUUUUAGUUGCUUGUUGAGUGGAGAGAGAGAGAGAGAGAGAGAGAGAGAGAGAGAGAGAGACUUUAUAGCUACCUGUAAAUAUUACGAAAGUAGUGUAAACUUCACUCAUGUCAAUGCAGAAAUAAAAUUUCUAAGUACAAAAACAAAAGAAAAUUAUCUUAUUACACUAUUCUGAGGAACAUGUAAAGGAACUUAGAUAGCAGCGUUUCAGUACUGCAGUCACGAAACUCUCCUGUUUCAUGACAUAACAGAGAAACACAGACAGACCCAGAAAUACCCCGAGAAAGCCACACAGACUGGGUAGACACACUAUUCACAUAGUUUCACUAUAACUGUAGAAAGCCAUAAUAAACAUUUUGUUGAAAGAACAAAAUAGGAUACAUGUAUAUUUCACAGGCAGGAAUCUUGAUAUACAUAAAAGAUGAAACAGUAUACCUGCUUUCCGGGGAGUUCAAAGACUAUGGAUGGUUAGAUGCUCCAUUUACAAGGCUAUUUGCAAGUAAAAACUAAAAUGCUACUCAUGUCAUUAAUUGGGUCACGAUAAUUAUCAAUGAAGAAAUUACAGGAUAAAAACCAGGAGAUUCAGCCCCAUCAUUCUGAAUGUUUUCCAGGAAAACAUUCUCUUUUGCUAAACUAAAGUCAUCUAUUUACAAACUAUUUACAAUUAGAUCCAUGGGUGCAAACCAAUUUAUCUGUGACUUUCCAAAUCUUGGAUUAGGCAGGUUUUCAUUGCUCAGUGAGUGAAAAAAAUAAGGGGGAGAGAGAGAUAGAGAGAGAGAGAUAGAGAGAGAGAGAGAGAGAGAGAGAGAGAGAGAGAGAGAGACAGAGAGACAGAGAGAGAGAGACAGAGAGAAAGAGAGAAAAGUUUAUAAAUGCUAG